RNAcentral lists this transfer RNA (71 nucleotides) under Dipodomys ordii (Ord's kangaroo rat). It matches the Rfam family "tRNA", at positions 7 to 64 of the family's 71-position model. Rfam says of the family: Transfer RNA (tRNA) molecules are approximately 80 nucleotides in length. Their secondary structure includes four short double-helical elements and three loops (D, anti-codon, and T loops). Lineage: Eukaryota; Metazoa; Chordata; Mammalia; Rodentia; Heteromyidae. The record is from Rfam by way of RNAcentral.
GGUGGCUCAGUGGUAGUGGUAGAGCACUUGCCUUGCAUGCAUGAGGCCCUGGGUUCGAUUCCCUAGCACUA